AAGCAGGUCAUAGUGAUCCGGUGGUUCUGAAUGGAAGGGCCAUCGCUCAACGGAUAAAAGGUACUCCGGGGAUAACAGGCUGAUACCGCCCAAGAGUUCAUAUCGACGGCGGUGUUUGGCACCUCGAUGUCGGCUCAUCACAUCCUGGGGCUGAAGUAGGUCCCAAGGGUAUGGCUGUUCGCCAUUUAAAGUGGUACGCGAGCUGGGUUUAGAACGUCGUGAGACAGUUCGGUCCCUAUCUGCCGUGGGCGCUGGAGAAUUGAGGGGGGCUGCUCCUAGUACGAGAGGACCGGAGUGGACGCAUCACUGGUGUUCGGGUUGUCAUGCCAAUGGCACUGCCCGGUAGCUAAAUGCGGAAGAGAUAAGUGCUGAAAGCAUCUAAGCACGAAACUUGCCCCGAGAUGAGUUCUCCCUGACUCCUUGAGAGUCCUGAAGGAACGUUGAAGACGACGACGUUGAUAGGCCGGGUGUGUAAGCGCAGCGAUGCGUUGAGCUAACCGGUACUAAUGAACCGUGAGGCUUAACCUUACAACGCCGAAG
Molecule: ribosomal RNA, 540 nt
Filed under: Escherichia coli
Lineage: Bacteria; Pseudomonadati; Pseudomonadota; Gammaproteobacteria; Enterobacterales; Enterobacteriaceae
Description: partial 23S ribosomal RNA
Rfam family: Bacterial large subunit ribosomal RNA
Source: RNAcentral